This 429-nucleotide ribosomal RNA is filed under the name bacterium. RNAcentral's name for it is "partial 16S ribosomal RNA". It matches the Rfam family "Bacterial small subunit ribosomal RNA", at positions 355 to 776 of the family's 1533-position model. The record is from RNAcentral.
UAGGGAAUCUUCCACAAUGGACGCAAGUCUGAUGGAGCAACGCCGCGUGAGUGAAGAAGGUUUUCGGAUCGUAAAGCUCUGUUGUUGGUGAAGAAGGAUAGAGGCAGUAACUGGUCUUUAUUUGACGGUAAUCAACCAGAAAGUCACGGCUAACUACGUGCCAGCAGCCGCGGUAAUACGUAGGUGGCAAGCGUUGUCCGGAUUUAUUGGGCGUAAAGCGAGCGCAGGCGGAAUGAUAAGUCUGAUGUGAAAGCCCACGGCUCAACCGUGGAACUGCAUCGGAAACUGUCAUUCUUGAGUGCAGAAGAGGAGAUUGGAAUUCCAUGUGUAGCGGUGGAAUGCGUAGAUAUAUGGAAGAACACCAGUGGCGAAGGCGGCUCUCUGGUCUGCAACUGACGCUGAGGCUCGAAAGCAUGGGUAGCGAACAGG